This 74-nucleotide transfer RNA is filed under the name Parcubacteria group bacterium CG23_combo_of_CG06-09_8_20_14_all_35_9. RNAcentral's name for it is "tRNA-Trp". It matches the Rfam family "tRNA". Rfam says of the family: Transfer RNA (tRNA) molecules are approximately 80 nucleotides in length. Their secondary structure includes four short double-helical elements and three loops (D, anti-codon, and T loops). Further hydrogen bonds mediate the characteristic L-shaped molecular structure. tRNAs have two regions of fundamental functional importance: the anti-codon, which is responsible for specific mRNA codon recognition, and the 3' end, to which the tRNAs corresponding amino acid is attached (by aminoacyl-tRNA synthetases). tRNAs cope with the degeneracy of the genetic code in two manners: having more than one tRNA (with a specific anti-codon) for a particular amino acid; and 'wobble' base-pairing, i.e. permitting non-standard base-pairing at the 3rd anti-codon position. The record is from RNAcentral.
GCGGGCUUAGUUAAAUGGUAUAACGCUGGUCUCCAAAACCAGGAUUGGGGGUUCGAUUCCCUCAGCCCGUGCCA